UACGUAGGGUGCAAGCGUUAAUCGGAAUUACUGGGCGUAAAGCGUGCGCAGGCGGUUUUGUAAGUCUGUUGUGAAAUCCCCGGGCUCAACCUGGGAAUGGCAAUGGAGACUGCAAGGCUAGAGUUUGGCAGAGGGGGGUAGAAUUCCACGUGUAGCAGUGAAAUGCGUAGAUAUGUGGAGGAACACCGAUGGCGAAGGCAGCCCCCUGGGUCAAAACUGAUGCUCAUGCACGAAAGCGUGGGGAGCAAACAGG
RNAcentral lists this ribosomal RNA (253 nucleotides) under uncultured bacterium. Its description in RNAcentral is "partial 16S ribosomal RNA". It matches the Rfam family "Bacterial small subunit ribosomal RNA", at positions 524 to 776 of the family's 1533-position model. The record is from RNAcentral.